GACGAACGCUGGCGGCGUGCCUAAUACAUGCAAGUAGAACGCACAGUUUAUACCGUAGCUUGCUACACCAUAGACUGUGAGUUGCGAACGGGUGAGUAACGCGUAGGUAACCUGCCUGGUAGCGGGGGAUAACUAUUGGAAACGAUAGCUAAUACCGCAUAAUAUUGAUUAUUGCAUGAUAAUUGAUUGAAAGAUGCUAUUGCAUCACUACCAGAUGGACCUGCGUUGUAUUAGCUAGUAGGUGAGGUAACGGCUCACCUAGGCGACGAUACAUAGCCGACCUGAGAGGGUGAUCGGCCACACUGGGACUGAGACACGGCCCAGACUCCUACGGGAGGCAGCAGUAGGGAAUCUUCGGCAAUGGACGAAAGUCUGACCGAGCAACGCCGCGUGAGUGAAGAAGGUUUUCGGAUCGUAAAGCUCUGUUGUAAGAGAAGAACGGGUGUGAGAGUGGAAAGUUCACACUGUGACGGUAUCUUACAAGAAAGGGACGGCUAACUACGU
Molecule: ribosomal RNA, 504 nt
Filed under: uncultured bacterium
Lineage: Bacteria
Description: partial 16S ribosomal RNA
Rfam family: Bacterial small subunit ribosomal RNA
Source: RNAcentral